AGAUCACAGCCACGUCAACAGUGGACGUCAGGCUUGUAAGAGACAUGAAUUAUAUGUGAGCUUUAGUGACCUAGGCUGGAAGGACUGGGUCCUGGCUCCUACUGGUUACUCUGCCAUCUACUGUGAUGGAGAAUGCCUAUACCCUCUGGGUUCCUGCAUGAACGCCACCAACCACGCUAUGAUCCAACUAGUGGUUCACCUUUUGAAGCCGGAUGAGGUUCCCAAAGCGUGCUGCGCACCCACCAAGCUCAGUCCCAUCUCUGUACUCUUCUACGACCACAACAACAAUGUGAUCCUAAAGAAGCAUCGCAACAUCACUAUUGUAAAGUGGCUGUUCCACUGGAUGUCAUAAGGUGAAUGCACCAAUUUGUAAGUCGCUCUGGAUAAGAGCGUCUGCUAAAUGACUUAAAUGUAAAUGUAACAUGGUGGUCAAGACCUGUGGAUGCCUGUAACAUCUGUGGUGGCCCAUCUAUUCUACAUCAUUUGAAUAAACUUCACUACCAUUGUUCCAAAAGAUACAAACAGGGUUGAUAGCAAUAAUCUGGCAAUAUGCGGAAAAAUAGUAUGUAUCUACACUGAACAUAAAUAUAAACUCAACAUGCUACAAUUUCAACGAUUUUACUGAGUUAUAGUUCAUAUAAUGAAAUCAGUCAAUUAAAAUACGUUCUUUAGUCCCUAAUCUAUGGAUUUCACAUGACUGGGAAUCCAGAUGUGCAUCUGUUGGUAACAGAUACCUUUUUAAAUGAAGAUAGGAGCGUGGAUCAGAAAACCAGUCAGUAUCUGGUGUGACCACCAUUUGCCUCAUG
Oncorhynchus keta (chum salmon) is the source of this 806-nucleotide long non-coding RNA. RefSeq lists it as uncharacterized. The transcript has 3 exons. Lineage: Eukaryota; Metazoa; Chordata; Actinopteri; Salmoniformes; Salmonidae. The record is from RefSeq and is a predicted model, not a curated record.